RNAcentral lists this ribosomal RNA (642 nucleotides) under Serratia sp. (in: enterobacteria). RNAcentral describes it as "bacterial SSU rRNA". It matches the Rfam family "Bacterial small subunit ribosomal RNA", at positions 88 to 725 of the family's 1533-position model. Lineage: Bacteria; Pseudomonadati; Pseudomonadota; Gammaproteobacteria; Enterobacterales; Yersiniaceae. The record is from RNAcentral.
GUGACGAGCGGCGGACGGGUGAGUAAUGUCUGGGAAACUGCCUGAUGGAGGGGGAUAACUACUGGAAACGGUAGCUAAUACCGCAUAACGUCGCAAGACCAAAGAGGGGGACCUUCGGGCCUCUUGCCAUCAGAUGUGCCCAGAUGGGAUUAGCUAGUAGGUGGGGUAAUGGCUCACCUAGGCGACGAUCCCUAGCUGGUCUGAGAGGAUGACCAGCCACACUGGAACUGAGACACGGUCCAGACUCCUACGGGAGGCAGCAGUGGGGAAUAUUGCACAAUGGGCGCAAGCCUGAUGCAGCCAUGCCGCGUGUGUGAAGAAGGCCUUCGGGUUGUAAAGCACUUUCAGCGAGGAGGAAGGUGGUGAAACUUAAUACGUUCAUCAAUUGACGUUACUCGCAGAAGAAGCACCGGCUAACUCCGUGCCAGCAGCCGCGGUAAUACGGAGGGUGCAAGCGUUAAUCGGAAUUACUGGGCGUAAAGCGCACGCAGGCGGUUUGUUAAGUCAGAUGUGAAAUCCCCGGGCUCAACCUGGGAACUGCAUUUGAAACUGGCAAGCUAGAGUCUCGUAGAGGGGGGUAGAAUUCCAGGUGUAGCGGUGAAAUGCGUAGAGAUCUGGAGGAAUACCGGUGGCGAAGGCGGC